UACAGAGGUGGCGAGCGUUGUUCGGAUUCAUUGGGCGUAAAGGGUGCGUAGGUGGUUUGGUAAGUUGGAUGUGAAAUGCCACAGCUCAACUGGGGAAUUGCAUCCAAAACUACCUUACUUGAGGAUCUCGGGAAGAGAAUAGAAUUCUCGGUGUAGCGGUGAAAUGCGUAGAUAUCGAGAAGAAUACCUGUGGCGAAGGCGGUUCUCUACCAUAUUCCUGACACUAAAGCACGAAAGCGCGGGGAGCAAACGGG
Molecule: ribosomal RNA, 254 nt
Filed under: uncultured bacterium
Lineage: Bacteria
Description: partial 16S ribosomal RNA
Rfam family: Bacterial small subunit ribosomal RNA
Source: RNAcentral